Solanum pennellii is the source of this 1013-nucleotide long non-coding RNA. RefSeq lists it as uncharacterized. NCBI's taxonomy places the organism in Eukaryota, Viridiplantae, Streptophyta, Magnoliopsida, Solanales, Solanaceae. The record is from RefSeq and is a predicted model, not a curated record. The transcript has 2 exons.
AAAUAGUAGGGUCAAGGCCCAUAGUGUCUGUUGCUUUGCUUUUAUGACUUUGUUUGUCCUCUUUCUUUGUCCAUCCUUUAUUUAUUAUCUAUCUAUCCCCCACUCCCACUUGUUCAGUCAUUCAUUCUCAAUAGGGAUCCCUCUCCUCUUGUACAUUGUUUUCUUAAUCUCUUCUCCAUCCCCAAGAUCAUAUGGAGGAAGUUCUCUCAGUUGAGGGGAAUGUUGUCUGGCUCGAGGUCACCAAUUAGAUCCAUAAUCCCUAUAUAUACCAUGCUUUUCAAAAAAGAGAUUUAUAAUAUGAAAAGGGGUUAUGAAUCAUGUGUUAGUGUUGUCGGACCAGGCUUCAUUCCCCCCAAUUGUUACUCCUCUAGCUAGGGGAAAAGGGUUCAUUUGAUAAAUUUUAUUGGUAAAAAUAUUUACAUCCAUCACUAUGUAACUUUAGUGACAAAAGCUAAUAUUUGGUGUAGUUUUAGUUUUUGUAUUUUGUAGGUUGUGGGAUACGGUCAUUAUUAGGUAAAAAAUGUUGUUGGUGGACAAGAGCAGAUUGGUGUAAUGAUGAAGAUAUUUGACUCAUUUCCUGCCAAGGCAGGCAUAUGGAAAAUAAUGUUGAAAUGAGAGAUAAUAUCCUAACUUGUAUUGUGUACAAGAUCUUGUGACAUCAUCAUCCACAGAUAUCUCUUCACAUGAAUAAGAGGUCAUUCCUCAUUUUGGGUUAAAACUAUAGAAAAAGUGUGAAAGAAUAUGAUUCAUUCUAAGCUUUUGUAAAGUUCUUUUCAAAGAAGAUCUAUUCUUUACCAGUGUUAUAAUUUAAGUUUGCAUAUAUUGUUUAAGUUAUAGAUGAUAUGACAAGUUACUAUAACAUGUAAAAAGUGACAUGAUUUAUAGUGUAAUUUUUUUUACUCGUCUUAAAAUGGUGAAGGUUAUCAAUUAGCCUGAAUAUAUUUUGAUGUGAAAUGAAGAUGGUAUAAAUUACAUAAUGGAUGCAACAUUGCAUAUGCACUUUGGAAAUUGAA